Molecule: ribosomal RNA, 498 nt
Filed under: uncultured bacterium
Lineage: Bacteria
Description: bacterial SSU rRNA
Rfam family: Bacterial small subunit ribosomal RNA
Source: RNAcentral
ACUCAAAUGAAUAGACGGGGGCCCGCACAAGCGGUGGAGCAUGUGGCUUAAUUCGAGGCAACGCGAAGAACCUUACCUGGUCUUGAAAUAUAUCGGAUCGCCUGUGAAAGCAGGUUUCCCUUCGGGGCUGAUAUACAGGUGCUGCAUGGCUGUCGUCAGCUCGUGCCGUGAGGUGUUCGGUUAAGUCCGGCAACGAGCGCAACCCGUAUCGUCAGUUGCCAGCAGGUAAAGCUGGGGACUCUGGCGAGACUGCCUGUGUUAAGCAGGAGGAAGGCGCGGAUGACGUCAAGUCAGUAUGGCCCUUACGACCAGGGCUGCACACGUGCUACAAUGGGGGGUACAAUGGGAUGCGAUGUCGCGAGGCGGAGCAAAUCCACAAAACCUCUCUUAGUUCAGAUUGCAGUCUGCAACUCGACUGCAUGAAGUUGGAAUCGCUAGUAAAGGCGUAUCAGCUACGACGCCUUGAAUACGUUCCCGGGCCUUGUACACACCGCCCGU